CCUACGGGUGGCAGCAGUGGGGAAUAUUGCGCAAUGGGCGAAAGCCUGACGCAGCGACGCCGCGUGAGGGAUGAAGGUCUUCGGAUCGUAAACCUCUGUCAGCAGGGAAGCACGGUCACUGUGCUAAUCAGCAGUGAAUUGACCGUACCUGACCAAGAAGCGCCGGCUAACUACGUGCCAGCAGCCGCGGGCAUACGUAGGGGGCAAGCGUUAUCCGGAAUUACUGGGUGUAAGGGGAGCGUAGGCGGCUGUGCAAGUCCGGAGUGAAAGGCGGGGGCCCAACCCCCGGACUGCUCUGGAAACUGUAUGGCUUGAGUGCAGGAGAGGUAAGCGGAAUGCCUAGUGUAGCGGUGAAAUGCGUAGAUAUUAGGAGGAACCCCAGUGGCGAAGGCGGCUUACUGGACUGUAACUGACGUUGAGGCUCGAAAGCGUGGGGAGCAAACAGGAUUAGAUACCCGAGUAGUC
Molecule: ribosomal RNA, 465 nt
Filed under: uncultured bacterium
Lineage: Bacteria
Description: partial 16S ribosomal RNA
Rfam family: Bacterial small subunit ribosomal RNA
Source: RNAcentral